This 6566-nucleotide long non-coding RNA is filed under the name Gossypium barbadense (sea-island cotton). RNAcentral describes it as "long non-coding RNA (GBAR_LNC012647)". Lineage: Eukaryota; Viridiplantae; Streptophyta; Magnoliopsida; Malvales; Malvaceae. The record is from RNAcentral.
GCGCCCUAAAGCUAUCCAAUUUCAACAGUUAAAAUGAGUAUUACCUAUCUUAGUAAUACAUAUUAAAAACCAUCAAAAAUAAAUAAGCAGCCUUAUUACAUUUAAAAGCCCAAAACCUCAAACGUAAUUAAAAGGAUGUCCAGUUCACCAGAAGAAAAUCAAACUUUCAGAACGGGUGGUCACUCCGAAUUCCCUCACAGCUCCAAGCCCACUAUGGUUGGGGAUUUCCUGCGUGGAUGAAAAUAAAAGGGGUGAGUUUGGGGAAACUCAGUGUGUAAGGAAAACCCAUUCAAAGCCCAAGUCAGCUCAAGCCCAUUGGGCCUAAGCCCAUUCAGGUAACAGUGGUACUGGGCCAGAGCCCUUUUCAAAUUACAAUAAACUGGGCCUUAGCCCCUUAUUCAGAUAACAGUAUGGCCCAUAAGCCCAUUUCAAAAUACAUGCAACAUCAGUAAACAUAUGCAAGCCCAUUUGGGUAACAGUGGUACUGGGCCAGAGCCCUUUUCAGAUUACAAUAAACUGGGCCUUAGCCCCUUAUUCAGAUAACAGUAUGACCCAUAGGCCCAUUUCAAAAUACAUGCAACAUCAGUAAACAUAUGCAAGCCCAUUUGGGGAGUGUGACAGCCCUAAAGUGACCCUAGUCAGAAAGCGGUUUUGGGACCGCUAAACCGAGUCACCAAAUUAUUUGAAUAUGAUAUUUAUUGUCUAAAAUAUGUGAAUAUGAAUGUGUGAAAGUUUUAAGCUUCGAUUUAGUCGAUUGCAUGUGAAUUCAGCUAAUAGGACUUAUGUGUGACACUUUUGAAAUGUGAUAGGUUAAUCUAUAGGAUCUAUUAGUGCAUGUAAUAAAAGGGUGGACUUGCAUGUCAAUUUCCCCCUUAAUUUAGUAGUGGCCGGCCAUGACAAGGAAGGAGGACAAAAUGUUAUGGGCAAAACAUGUCAUAAACAUGUUAUGUUAGUGAUUUAUGUUAGGAAAAAUAAAAUAAGGAGUAUGGGUAAUAAAAUAAUAAUGCAAAGGGAGGAGUGAUGAAAAAAAAAAUUGUCUCAUCCUUGUUUCCCCCCAUUGCCGUGAAUUGAAGAAAGAAAACAAAAAAAAAGUGUUCAUUCUUGAACAUCUUUGACCGAAUAGAGGAAAGAAAGGAAGGGAAAGAGCUUGGAGAAAAUCGGCUAUGGUGGUUUGCUAGACUAAGGUAUGUUUGAUGUUGUCCAUGAGAUUCAUGCAUGUUUUUAGUUGUUAGUUUGAGUUCUACCUAGCCCAUGGUUUAAAUCUUUGCUAUGUGAUGGAGAUGAUAUUCGGCCAUGGGUGUUGUCUUCUUGGUUGAUGUUUGAUGUUGUGGUGAUGAGGCAUGAAGAUGGGUUAAGUUUCGGCUAAGGAGGAUUUGUGAUUGAUGCCAUUUGCAUGCUAAAUGUGAAGCUUUGUAAUGAUACAUGUGGUGGUGGAUUUUCUUUUUAGCAUUCUUGAGUUAGGCCUUAAGUUCUUUGUGUAACCCAUGACCAAAAUUGAAUGGUAUGGUGUCUUGAUGCAUUCGGCCAUGGUAGAAAGUAGAUGAGAAAUGGUAGUAAGGUGAAGUGCAAAUGUUAGUAUUUGAUUUCUAAUGCAUAUAUGUGUAUGAGCCGAGUUUUGAAUUUGAAACAAAAUGGUAUGUAGUCAAUACAAGUAACCAUAUUUGUAGGAAGUAUUAAGCAUAUAUUGGCCUCAACAUAGACAUGCAUAUUCGGCCACAUUGGUGUUGCAUGUAUUCGGCUAGGGGCAAGCAUAUUGAUGCUUUUAUCUUGACUUAGACAAUCGGCUCAAGGAGAAUUUAUUAAGUGCUUAGUUAAUUGAUAUUAGGUCAAUGAUGUGUGUAUUCGGUCAUAAAAGUGCACAUGAGGAAAUGUUAGAUUAAUUGUAUUAAAUUGCUCAAUGUGAUUAAAAAUGCGUAUGACCAUUUUGUAUUUGAGUUAAAGGUGGCCAUAUGACCUAUCAAACUCCUUGUCAUAUUCGGCCAUAAGCUAGCAUAAUGAGACUUUAAUAAGUUAAAUUUGUUUGAAUUAGCUCAAGAGCUUAGAGGACCACAGUUGGACAAGGGAAAGGAAAAAGUGAUCGAAUAGCCACCGAAAUCGUUCGACCACAUCCGAGGUAAGUUUUAAGUGAUUAAACGUUGAGUAAAUUCAAUCAUAAUAGGACAUAAUGAGUUGAUUUAAUAAGAUAUGAUGUGGCCAUGAUAUGUCUUAAACUCAAAUGGUAAGUUCAUAAGUGUUUGGACUUGGAAAUUUAAGAGCAAAUUGUAAUAAUUUGCUUUGGACAGCAGCAGUAACGUGAUUUUAGAAAAUCACUAUAAAUUGUUGGUGUGGAAUUAUAGGCUGAAUAAAAUAUGUAAUCAAAUCUUAAUUAGUCUAGUUUCUUAUAAAAGAGACCUUGUGAGCAAAGAAAUUUCCUAUAAAGAGAUAUUUAAAGUUGUGUGAGACGGUGUCAGAAUGACUCCGAAAUCCCCUGUUCUAUUUUUAGAAAAUCAUUAUAAAUUGUACAAAAAUGGUUAUAAGAUAAAAUUUAUAUGCUUAGACUCCUUAAUGAGUAUAGUUUCAAAUGAAAUCAAAUACAGCACAUUUUGAACUCUGUAAAAUGAGAAAUUUGAUUCGUAGUGAAGAGUGGUCAGAUUAGUCAAACAGUGAAAAAGGGGAUACUUUAAGAAAAAUCUGGUAUUGAUUGGCCUAAUCAAAAAUUAUGAAAAUUUUAUGGAUGGAAGAUAUAUGAGUCUAUAUUCAUGGAAAAUUAACGGAAAUUGAUUUGGAGUUUUUUAGCUCUAGUUAUAAAUAAUUUAGUGACUAUUGCUCAGGAAAAACAGCUUGUGCUGAAUUUGAGAUUAUGUUGUAAACCUUGAUAAAACUUGUUUUAGUUGCUCAUAAGCUAUUGAUUAAACCCAUACGUGAUUUCUAAAUUGUGAUAUUGGAAAAUGAUAGAUGUAGAUUCAGCCAAGACAAAGUGUAUACGUGAAAGUAUAUGUGGUAUGUAAAGUAUAUUUGGAUAAUUGUGAUGUGAAUACAUGAAAAUUUAUAUUUUGAUUUAGGAUUUAAUAUGAUGAAUGUGAACAUGCGUAUGUGUGAUAAGGCCGAAUGGCCAAUGUGAUGAAUGUGAACCUGUAUAUAUAUGCGUGAUAAGGCCGAAUGGCCAAUGUGAUGAAUGUGAACCCGUAUAUAUAUGUGUGAUAAGGCCGAAUGGCCAAUGUGAUGAAUGUGAACAUGCGUAUGUGUGAUAAGGCCGAAUGGCCAAUGUGAUGAAUGUGAACCUGUAUAUAUAUGCGUGAUAAGGCCGAAUGGCCAAUGUGAUGAAUGUGAACAUGCGUAUGUGUGAUAAGGCCGAAUGGCCAAUGUGAUGAAUGUGAACCUGUAUAUAUAUGCGUGAUAAGGCCGAAUGGCCAAUGUGAUGAAUGUGAACAUGCGUAUGUGUGAUAAGGCCGAAUGGCCAAUGUGAUGAAUGUGAACCCGUAUAUAUAUGUGUGAUAAGGCCGAAUGGCCAAUGUGAUGAAUGUGAACAUGCGUAUGUGUGAUAAGGCCGAAUGGCCAAUGUGAUGAAUGUGAACCCGUAUAUAUAUGUGUGAUAAGGCCGAAUGGCCAAUGUGAUGAAUGUGAACAUGCGUAUGUGUGAUAAGGCCGAAUGGCCAAUGUGAUGAAUGUGAACCUGUAUAUAUAUGCGUGAUAAGGCCGAAUGGCCAAUGUGAUGAAUGUGAACAUGCAUAUAUGAGAUAAGGUCGAAUGGCCAAUGUGAUGAUGUCAACGUGUAUAUAUAUAUUGUGGCCAAAUGACAAACGGCGAAAGGUGUGUAUUAUUAGAUAUUUGAUGAGGCAAAUGAAUUACAAAUAUGACAGUCGAUGUGAAUGUUGUAACGUGUGAUUAAAUAUACAUGAAACUUGGAAAUAUAUUCCGGGUAAGACCCGAUGACUACGUGUGGAGAUUAUAUCCGGGUAAGACCCGAUGACUACGUGUGGAGAUUAUGUCCGGGUAAGACCCGAUGACUACGUGUGGAGAUUUUGUCCGGGUAAGACCCGAUAACUUUGUGUGGAGAUUUCGUCUGAGCUAAAGGUCUCGCCGAUAAUCCGAGUAGAGGUUAAAGCUAUAAGACUUCGUAAUAAGAAUUGCUUAUAAAUAUAUUCAAUGCGAAAGGUUAAACAGGUAUGUACUCCAAGUUUAUAUGUGAGGUUGAUUCGAACUAAAUCAUAAGGUAGUUAUGUGAUGCAUACGAGAGCAAUCUAUGAGACUAUUCCUAUGAUUAUGUGACAUCGGAUCAGUGUGAGAGGUUAUGUGAAAUCAUACAAUAUAUCUAUGUCACAUGAGCUCACUUUUAUGUGAAAGUUUAUCUGCCUAUUGUAUAUGAUGAGAUGUGCAUAUUCGAUAAAGGGAUGGUAUGCCCGAAGGAAGAGUGAAAUAAAAAUACGAACAACUAUGUUAUAAUUUGAUUGUUAUCUAUUGACAAUGCUUAAAACUUACUAAGCAUCGUAAUGCUUACUCCGUUUGCUUUGUUUUCUCUGUUUUAUAGAUCUCAUUGUGAAGCUACAGGCUCGGGGAUCGUCAGCAACUAGUCACACUAUCACUAUCCACUGCUUGUUACUGUUAUGUUUAGAAUUAUUUUAUGGCAUGUAUAGAAUAGACUAGUGGUGGAAGAAUAUUUUUGGUUAAUGUAUAUAAGCCAUGCGAAAAUGGCAUCUUUUGAACGUUUACUUAGAGAAGUUUAAAUUUUAUCCCUGGCUGUGCUUAGUACUUAUUUAAAUGAAUGAUCUUUAUUUCAAGAAAAAGUUCAAAAUUUUACUGUUCUGACAUGAGUUACAAGUCCGGUAAUGCCCCUUACCUAUUCUGGCGACGGUUACGGGAUAGGGGUGUUACAGGGAGACUACUCAACCCACCAACCACUACACUCCACCCGUACCAGCCAUACACUCCAUGUGGGGAAUAGCUCAACCCACCCAGCCCAACACUCCACAGUUGCAGCCUUGCUGCUCAGUUAACAGUAAAUUGAGGCAAAGCCUCCAGUACGUGGACAAGCCACUUUCAGUACUUCCUCCGUCAAUAUCCCAAUCCCAUGCAUCAGAUAAUAACAACAUGGCAUGCAGUAAAUAACAAUAGUCAAACAUGCAUUUAGGUCAAUUUAACCCUAGGGGUAUUUCGGUAAUUUAUCUACUAGGGGUAAAACUGUAAAUUUUCCACUUUUAAAGGUAUUUCAGUAAUUUAUCUAUUUUAGAGUUUUUCAUGCAUAUUCCUACUUUUCACGUACUAACAGAAUCACGUACUGAGGUUUCUUACCGAAUUGGGCCCGUUGGCCCAUCAUUCCAAUUUUGGCCCAUUAAGCCCAAAAAUAUCGAGGGCACAGAAAUCAUGCACUUUGCAGUCCAAAUUUUGCAGCUUACCAAAAACAUUAAUCGAUUUACCUCACGAGCAUUCGCACACUAGCAAAUUUACAAAAUACCGGUUUUCGGCAUUUUGACUUUUUCCGAUCCAGACUAAGAAAGAGGGUGUUAGUUACACACCUGUUUGCGACGAUAUGCUGACGAAAUCCACACAUGAACCGCCUACAAUUGGAUUACUAACACGUUAAUCUAACUAUUCAAAUACAAACUACGUAUUAACCCCUUACAAUAUUCGGCCAACCACACCUACAGAUCAUAGUAAGCUUAUAAGAAAUCAAUAAGCAACUCAUUAACAAAUUUUUGUCAAUGUUUACCACAUAAUCAUAAUUUCACUGCAAGCUGUCUUCCUGAGCAACAGUCACUAAAUUAUUUAUAACUGGAGCUACGAAACUCCAAAUCAAGUUCUGUUAAUUUUCCCUGAAAAUAUACUCAUAUAUCUUCUAUCCAUAAAAUUUUUAUAAUUUUUGGUUUAGCCAAUCAAUACCAGAUUUUUCUCAAACUUUCCCAUGUUUUACUGUUUGACUAAUCUGAUGACUCUUCAUUACGAAUCAAAUUUCUCAUUGUACAGAAUUCAAAAUAUGUUCUCGUUUAUUCCAUUUGAAACUAGACUCAUUAAGCUUUAAUUACAUAAUUUAUUCAGCUUCUAAUUCAUCUCCCACAAUUUAUGGUGAUUUUCCAAAGUCACGUUAUUGCUGCUGUCCCAAGCAGAUUUAUUACCAAAUCACUCUUUCACACAUACCUUGCAUGCAUGUUAUUUAAACAUGUAUAUCACCAAUCAAUCAUCACAUAUCUAUGAUUUUACUUAAGAAUAAUCUCCAUUUCAUCAUUUUAAAGCACAACAUGUUAGCUGAUUUUUUUCCCUUUAACGUCUAAGGCACAUGCAUGCUCAUUUGUUUGGCUCAACUUCACCUAUCUUCCAUUUUUUUUUAUCAAAAGAACAUGAAACAACAACCAUUUUUUUCAUUUUAAUUCAUGACUAAAUGCUCACAACACAACUAAAAACCAAAAUAUGCUUCAAGAGUUAAGGUAGCAUCAAGAUGAACUCAUGAACCUCAAAAUAAGAAGCAAGGUACCAAGAACUUACCUUCAAUUUUCCUCCUCCUAAUGACCGAAUACUCAAGAGCUUUCUCCUCUCCUUUCUCUUCUCUAAUUUUCAGCUAUGAUGAACAAAGAUGGACAAAACUUUGUUCUUUU